UCGCUGUCCAUUAUUACUUUUGGUACGCGCUAUGCCAAACUCAACUCGUACCGUGAGUAAUAAUGCACUGCGA
Molecule: non-coding RNA, 73 nt
Organism: Salmo salar (Atlantic salmon)
Lineage: Eukaryota; Metazoa; Chordata; Actinopteri; Salmoniformes; Salmonidae
Source: Rfam